This 24-nucleotide non-coding RNA is filed under the name Arabidopsis thaliana (thale cress). Lineage: Eukaryota; Viridiplantae; Streptophyta; Magnoliopsida; Brassicales; Brassicaceae. The record is from RNAcentral.
CGGACUCCCAGACCCUCUUGCCUC